ACUCCACUUAAGCCUAGCUUAGUGUUGGGAAUCUACGCAAAGGCGUCUACUCUGUAGUCACCUUGUAGUUCCUUAAAGACAGCGGCGGAGUAGUGGUAUCCUCUGAGCUUAGUAAUUUCUUUCUAGCUUUCGAGUAGCCACUGCCCUUGCCGGUAAAACACCCUUCUUCUGAAU
RNAcentral lists this unclassified non-coding RNA (174 nucleotides) under uncultured Xylariales. RNAcentral's name for it is "sequence contains ITS2". Lineage: Eukaryota; Fungi; Ascomycota; Sordariomycetes; Xylariales. The record is from RNAcentral.